GCCCAGGUAGCUCAGUGGUAGAGCUCCUGUACAUGGUAAGCGAAAGAUCCCAGCAAUAACCACGAGGAGGUCGCAGUUUCGAAUCAUGCCCGGUGGCU
Molecule: non-coding RNA, 98 nt
Organism: Meloidogyne enterolobii
Lineage: Eukaryota; Metazoa; Nematoda; Chromadorea; Rhabditida; Meloidogynidae
Source: the annotation of a GenBank genome assembly